Molecule: long non-coding RNA, 258 nt
Filed under: Brassica rapa (field mustard)
Lineage: Eukaryota; Viridiplantae; Streptophyta; Magnoliopsida; Brassicales; Brassicaceae
Description: long non-coding RNA (BRAP_LNC004670)
Source: RNAcentral
GCCUAUUAGGUCUUUGUUUAUAUUAAAAUGGUUGAAUCACAAGAGCAUCUAAAUUAUGUAUGCUUACAAAUUACUAAAGUGGAAUCAAAGCACGUACUAAAUAAGGGUGGGACACGAACGAAGAGACUAAGCGGACGGGACGCAGAGGCACCAAGUGAAGUAGUCAACCCACAACGAAUAGAUAAGAUGUCCAUAUACUAGACGAGCCAGCAACGAUCAUGGCUCUAUUGGAGACACGAAGAGAAGUGGAGAACCCAC